UACCACUUAUACUGCUACGAAUUUAUUAAGUAUAUAUUAAUAAUUAUAAUUCUUUUUAAACAGAAAAUUACAGUUCGGUUUUAAAAGAUGAAUUAAGUUUAGAAACAAAUUCUGUCAUCAACAAUACUCCAGGUAAAAUGCUUGAUAGAUUUUAUUUACAAAACAAUAAUCGUAAAAAGCAACUUACUGUCAUCAUAGAUCACCCAUGAUCAUUUUAUUUAUGCUCGUUAAGGAAUCAAGAGUCACCUGAUAAGUACAGAUUGUGUUUAAAUUUAAAUGUUGCCUUUGUAAAUACUAGAGUUCCAGCGCUUAAUAUAAACUCAUAAAGUAAUGACGUGUGUGUAUCUACAAUUACAUGUUGUGUAGUCUUCCUCGCGUAUAACCCAAUAAUUAUUUUGUUUUACCUUGCUGCUGGCGUGCAACAAAAAAAUACAGUGAUGUGAAACAACAAGUUUAGAUGUAACAACACCAAGUAGUGAUUUUAGAUCUUACAUCAGUUUUUUUUGACAACUACAUUCGGCUCUACUUAUCGUAAAAUGAAUUUUAAAAAAGAUGCAGAGACUGGUGAGGAAAUAACAAGACUGAAUUUAGAAACCGGAGAAGUGGAAUUUAUAAUAACAUCUAAAAAACUACCAGCAAAGCCCAAAGUCUUCAGAAUACCGACAUCAUGCAUGAAUCUAAAAAAGAGAGAAGAAAAAAUAAAGUUUGACAGUUCUCCUACAUUUACAGCGGCGCUUGUAUUCCUAUUACCAACAACCAUAUUUUUUUCUCCAAUCCUUGGACUCCUGGUUGUUUUGAUUGAAGUUAUCAUUCACGUUUGGGCUCACAGAAAAAAUAAACUGAUCAGACACAAAAACCUGUACUACCAAAGUCCACUUCACAUAAUCUGCAAAGAGUACUGCGGAGCGUGCAAAGAAGAAGAAUCCAAAAUAAAGAUAACCAAGUUUCAGGAGAAAAGAGCUGAUAAAUUUAAGAAAUACGGUUUCGAAUACUUUAAGAGAAUUGUUACGUAGCAAUAACAAUCGUUCAACACCAUUGCCAGGAUUUUGUUUGUUUAAUGUUUAUAAACGAUUAGCUAAAAUCCUAAAGAUGUGACAAUCUCACUAAUGAUUAAAAUGUUAUCUCAAUACUGUUAGGUACGGGUACUGCAUGUUCUUAAUUUGUAGUCGAUAAUUUGUUGUUAUAGUUGAUAUUUUAAUAAAACACAUGUUUAAAACUGUUCGAAAAUAA
Molecule: long non-coding RNA, 1230 nt
Organism: Zophobas morio
Lineage: Eukaryota; Metazoa; Arthropoda; Insecta; Coleoptera; Tenebrionidae
Exons: 2
Source: RefSeq, a predicted model, not a curated record